GUGCUCGCUUCGGCAGCACAUAUACUAAAAUUGGAACGAUACAGAGAAGAGUAGCAUGGCCCCUGCGCAAGAACGAGAGCCAGAGCAAUCAAUCAAUCUCUCUCUGU
Octodon degus (degu) is the source of this 107-nucleotide small nuclear RNA. Lineage: Eukaryota; Metazoa; Chordata; Mammalia; Rodentia; Octodontidae. The record is from Ensembl.